Molecule: long non-coding RNA, 1348 nt
Filed under: Anas platyrhynchos platyrhynchos (common mallard)
Lineage: Eukaryota; Metazoa; Chordata; Aves; Anseriformes; Anatidae
Description: lncRNA (ENSAPLG00000025064.1)
Source: RNAcentral
AUGGCUGCAGCCCGUCUGUGCAAUCAGCCUUGGCUUUUCCUUCCUCUUACAGCGUGUCAGAGCCGCUGGGACCUCAGCCCCCUGCACCUGGUGCCCUUCCACGCUACAGGAAGGCCGUGUUUGUGGAGUUCCCCGAUGCCUCCUUCUCACAGCCCAAGCCCAAGCCGGCAUGGAUGGGUCUCCUGGGCCCCACCAUCCGAGCAGAAGUCUAUGACACGGUGGUCAUCACCUUCAAGAACCUGGCCUCCCGCCCGUACAACCUCCACGCCAUUGGGGUGUCCUACUGGAAGGCGUCAGAGGGUGAGUGGGGCCACGGCCACACGCUGCGAGUCCCUGUGCUAUGCCUCCUGCUCCCAGGAGGAGGCAUGUCCCUCCCCGACCCUGGUGUCAGCUCACUGAGGGGCUUGGGGUGGGGAGGAGGCAUUUCUGUAUCCACCAUGUGCUGGGGAUAAAGCUUCAGUGAAAUCAGGCUGUUCCUCUGGCUGCAGGUGCAGGGUACGAGGAUGAGACCAGCCAGCUGGAGAAGGAGGGCGACAGGGUGGAUCCGGGGAAGACACACACCUACGUCUGGGAAAUCCAGCAAAACCAGGGCCCCACAGAUGGCGACUCACCGUGCCUGACCCACUCCUACUCCUCCAACAUCGACAGCGUGAAGGACACCAACUCCGGUUUGAUUGGAGCCCUGCUCGUGUGCCGGCCCGGUAAGAGCAACCCAGGAUGGGGACAUUUCAGGUGAAGUCAUGGGCUGAGAGGCAGAGGAAUCAAAGACACCUCCCAGAGGCUCACCAUGGCAGUGGGGUCAGUGAGCUGUGGUCAACAGCAGCACUUUUGGGGUUUGGCCCUUUCCCCAAAGAGUUCCUUCCCAGUGUGGGAGGCAAACACCCCUGGAUUUCCCUGCAGGAGAGAGAACUUGGUUAAUUUUUGCCUUUGCAGAAUUUCAGACAACGAAUGAAAUCCUUUUCCUUGUAGCUGAAGCUUAUCUAUUGAUAAGGUGAAUUUCUGUGGAAGCAUAAACGUCUUCCUGCAGAGCUUCACUAAGCUGCAAUCAUUCAGUGUCUGCCAGGGCACUUUGCCAAACAGGAUUUUGUUAGAAGACAUAAAGGAAAGUUUUUUUUAUGAGCAAGGGCAGAGACAGGACACCUGGGGCACUGCCUCACCCACGGUACCUGUGCCUUCCCUCUUCCUUUGGUGGACGUGGAGAUGAGGAAACCUUGACUGCUAACCACCUCCGGGGUGCACGGCAUCAAGAAGUGAACCCGGGGCAGGACUGGUCUCCCCUGGCUGAGCCGUCUCCUGGAGGUGGUUGUCCAGCCCCCGGUGGAGUCACCGGAGAGGAAUGGGCACCUGU